RNAcentral lists this ribosomal RNA (250 nucleotides) under uncultured bacterium. Its description in RNAcentral is "partial 16S ribosomal RNA". It matches the Rfam family "Bacterial small subunit ribosomal RNA", at positions 524 to 773 of the family's 1533-position model. The record is from RNAcentral.
UACAGAGGGUGCAAACGUUGUUCGGAAUCACUGGGCAUAAAGCGCACGUAGGCGGCUUGGUAAGUGUGGUGUGAAAGCCCCCGGCCCAACCGGGGAACUGCAUCACAUACUGCCAGGCUAGAGAGCGGGAGGGGAGACUGGAACUCCUGGUGGAGCGGUGAAAUGCGUAGAUAUCAGGAGGAACACCGGUGGUGAAAACGAGUCUCUGGUCCGCUUCUGACGCUCAGGUGCGAAAGCUAGGGGAGCAAAC